GAGAGGCCCAAACGUUAUUCGGAAUCACUGGGCUUAAAGAGUUCGUAGGCGGUCUAGAAAGUUGGGUGUGAAAGCCCUCGGCUCAACCGAGGAACUGCGCUCAAAACUACUAGACUUGAGGGAGAUAGAGGUGAGCGGAACUGAUGGUGGAGCGGUGAAAUGCGUUGAUAUCAUCAGGAACACCGGAGGCGAAGGCGGCUCACUGGGUCUCUACUGACGCUGAGGAACGAAAGCUAGGGGAGCAAACGGGAUUAGAUACCCCGGUAGUCCUAGCCGUAAACGCUGAGUACUGGACCGGAGCCCUGCACAGGGUUUCGGUCGUAGCGAAAGUGUUAAGUACUCCGCCUGGGGAGUAUGGUCGCAAGGCUGAA
This 371-nucleotide ribosomal RNA is filed under the name uncultured bacterium. Its description in RNAcentral is "bacterial SSU rRNA". It matches the Rfam family "Bacterial small subunit ribosomal RNA", at positions 527 to 898 of the family's 1533-position model. The record is from RNAcentral.